RNAcentral lists this transfer RNA (77 nucleotides) under Verrucomicrobiaceae bacterium. RNAcentral's name for it is "tRNA-His". It matches the Rfam family "tRNA". From Rfam's summary of the family: Transfer RNA (tRNA) molecules are approximately 80 nucleotides in length. The record is from RNAcentral. Lineage: Bacteria; Pseudomonadati; Verrucomicrobiota; Verrucomicrobiia; Verrucomicrobiales; Verrucomicrobiaceae.
GUGGUGUUAGCUCAGUUGGUUAGAGCGCCGCACUGUGACUGCGGAGGCCGCCGGUUCGACCCCGGUACACCACCCCA